CCCGCGAGAGCGCGCCCCCCGCGCUGCGCGCCGCGCCCCGCCCCGCCUCGCCCGCCGGCCGUUGGUGGGCGGGGCGCUGGAGUCGGCCGGGGUCCCCCAAAUCCAGCCGGAAACAGUUGGCGAGUAAAUGUCUACGGGAUCCUUGUGUUGCUUCAGGCGUCCUGACGACAGGCUGCUUGAGAUCCGCUGUGGGCUGAUGAUACCUCCUGGAGAUGCUCUCUUACAUGUCCAGAUUUUCCCACUGGCAAAUGGGCCGGCAAUAUUGCGCUCACGUUCGGGAACGAGAUGCACGGUCAGCGUGUGAAAUGGCACAGCUGCGUGGCCUGCUGUUUGAAUGGGUUAUGACUAGUGACUUCUGUGAAUGCCAUGAGUGGAUGAAGUGGCACUGGUGGAUCAGGAACCCUGAUGUUGCCGACAGGUCAUCCAGAUGCCCGUGUCUUCCGUGGUUGCCUAGGACAUGAGCAGCAGGAAGUGAGGGCCUUUCCCCUCCACACAAGGGCUUCACUGUCUGCACCAUCAGUCCCCACUCUGACCUCAGGUCUUCAAGGAAAUGAAAACCUGCUCCCCCUUGCAAAAGGCACACCUCCAUAUGCAGUCUACAGACCUGGGGGACUAGACCAGUGGCAUGAUCUUGCCAUCCUCCUGCCAGAAGUAAAUGAAAAGAAUUCAUCCAAAUACCCAGACCAACCAAAGAGGGGGUCUGAGGGAGGAGAUCCAGACUGUGAAAGGAGAUGAGAACUGAGGAGACUGAGGCCUGAGAAGUCCAAAGCCGAGGAUGCAAGGAGACAAGGAGGCAAGGAGGCUGGGGAGGUGGAGAAGGCUGAGGAGGCAGCAGAGGCUGCUGUGAAAAGAGGAAGGCAGGGAGCAGUGUCUGGCUGGAAGGGUGGGGUCCUUCAGGUAUAUCUGAGAGUAAGGGCCAAAUGGACCCUUUCAGAUGCCAUUGGUUACAAACCAGCCUGCAUCUUUAGCAAAUGAAUGUAAACAAGAGGCCCCACUUAAACAAGCCUCACAUUAACAGUUCCUGCUUCCUCUAACUCAUCCUAAUUUCUCAAUACAAAUACAAUAGUGAUUUCAUGUUUAGUCUCCUUUAUGUUGCAAAUAAAUAGCAGGCCAUGCCCAUUGUGUCAUUCUUUGUAGCCCGGAGAGUGCAAAUAUAGAAUGUAAAAUAAUUUAUCUUAAAACUGUGCUGUGAAAAGUGAAUCAUUUUGACAGAUGAUCAUCACUCUUAGGGUACUGAAUUUUUAAAGUCUAAAAUUCACAUGUAGGAGAUUUGGCUACUUUAGAAAGAUAUUUGAACUGAUUAUCAGUUCAUCUUGUUACCAAACCAGGUUCAUUCUUGCCCACCACCCAGAAAGCCAAACACCAAGACAACGGGAUUACAGCAGAGAGAGGGUUUACUCACAAGGCAGCCAUGUGAGGAAGUGAGACCAUGAGCCCCAAAUGCACUUCCCCAAAAAUAGGGUCUCAGGGAUAUUUAUGGGACAGGGGGCAAGGCAGUCAGAAAUGUGGAGAGACAUGAUUAGAGGUGAGGAGAGGUGAGGUAAUUGAUGGUCUGCACAAACAUAGUCAGACUUCAUGCCUCUUCAUAGGACCCAUGUUCACAAAAUGGUGGCAUUAGCAUGAUCUGAGGGUGGAGUUUUUAGCCUCUUGUUGUCAAAUGGUCACAAAUCGGACAUCUCUGCAGGCCCAGUUGACGAUUUGGUGGUCUCAACUGGCCUGAAGUGGACGAGGAGUUCUAAUUCCUGAAAAACAGCUCACAUGCCCAUUACCAUGGUGACCUAGGCUCCAGAAAGAUGUUAUCCAUAGGAGCCUAGUGGGAGUCAGAUAGCAUAUUGCCUAAACAGCACGGUUAACAAUGGAUGGGUUAAACAGCUAAAAGCUAUAAUCAGUAAUUGCAAAAAGGAAAAAAAAACUUUAGUUCCUAGCUACUUAAUCAUCAAUAGCUAACUUUCUGCCAGUUUCAAUCCCCCUAUUCUUUGGUCAUUCCAAAGAAUGUUUGGGGCAACAACCAAUCUAGCUACUUCCUGCUGAAUCGGGGCAUAGAUCUGGCUGAGAGGAAUGAAACUGUUUAGCACUCUCAUUUGGAAAUGUUCCCUUGUUCCAGGCUUCAUGUUGACGUUUUUGUAUUAUUAGAAUUUUGUAUCUUGCUCUACAUCUAAAAAGCACAUUUUAUAAUCAAGUAUCUGAUGAUAAGGAUAAGUAUAGACAAUCCAAAUUUUAACAGUCCGUCAAAAAUAGACCUAAUUCCAUUGGGGCCUCCAUUUGAUCUCCAGGUGGGGCAGACAUCUGGUCUCAGUUCCUGAUAGUCUUUUGUUUUAUUGGAUAUGCAUCAGAGACCAGAGCAAUGGCCUAUACCCUGGUCUUUCAGUUGUCAUUGA
Molecule: non-coding RNA, 2378 nt
Organism: Equus caballus (horse)
Lineage: Eukaryota; Metazoa; Chordata; Mammalia; Perissodactyla; Equidae
Source: RefSeq, a predicted model, not a curated record